UAUUAUAAAGAUGAUAGACAAGAUGAACAUUGACAAACUCUCUGAUUUUCGCAAUGCAGCAAUCAGCUGAAUGCAAGCUGACAUGACAUCUCUGUUUGGAACUAUAACUUACCAGUCAAAUCAAUCUUCGAGUAUCUUCUUGGGCAAGCCUUUUUCCGCAAAGUUUCAAGGAGGAAGUACAUAGAGCCAACUCAAAGAUUAUAGGUUAUGUUUCUUCCUUCAGUGCACACAAAUAGUCACAGAAGCCGGAUUCUGUGUUUCCCUCCUAAGGUAUGCAUUGAGCUUUCAUUCAGCCUCUGAUGCCAUUUUCCGAAGCUCAAAUAGUGUAGAAUGAAAAGCAAGUGAGCUAGAGGUCUGUACUGUCAAUUUUUUAGUUUCUUACUAACUCUGGUUGCAAAUUAUCUUCUCAAAGUUGAGGUAAUGUGCAAAAGAGACUGAUAGAUGUUAGUGACAACUGGUAGUGGAUGUAAUAGAAAUGGUAGAUGAUCAUUACAAGAGACAAACUAGACCAUCG
Molecule: non-coding RNA, 514 nt
Organism: Camellia sinensis
Lineage: Eukaryota; Viridiplantae; Streptophyta; Magnoliopsida; Ericales; Theaceae
Source: RefSeq, a predicted model, not a curated record